UACGUAGGGGGCAAGCGUUGUCCGGAUUUAUUGGGCGUAAAGAGCGUGUAGGCGGCCAGACAAGUCUGCUGUGAAAACUCGAGGCUCAACCUCGAGCUGUCGGUGGAAACUGUCUGGCUAGAGUCCGGAAGAGGAGAGCGGAAUUCCUGGUGUAGCGGUGAAAUGCGCAGAUAUCAGGAGGAACACCGGUGGCGAAGGCGGAUCUCUGGGCCUGUCCUGACGCUGAGGCGCGAAAGCUAGGGGAGCGAACAGG
This 253-nucleotide ribosomal RNA is filed under the name uncultured bacterium. RNAcentral describes it as "partial 16S ribosomal RNA". It matches the Rfam family "Bacterial small subunit ribosomal RNA", at positions 524 to 776 of the family's 1533-position model. The record is from RNAcentral.